UCUCGGUAUUCUUGAUGUGGAGAGACAAUGAAAUGUCUUGGGCUGAUCACCUGACCUCCACAGAUGCGCGGAGCCUGUACACGGAUACGGAGGGGUCAGGAUCGCCGCAGAAGCCGCUCUGGGAUUAUACAGCUACUUAGGACGUGAAAGGAACCAGCAGGUGGCGCUGCGCAGAGCACUCGGGGAAUGGCAUUACUAGACCGCCACACUAGAAGAAUCAGGUGUUAUUAUUUCUCUCCUCCAGGACCGUGGUUGAAGGGGGCGGAGCCAGGCGAGCGGAGUGCCCUGUCCCCCGCCCGUCCACACAGCCACACACUCUGCAGUACAGCGGGGUAGUGGGGGAGGAAGCUCCAGCCGAGCUGUCAAGUACCGCACACGGCAGCCACUCACCGGGAGACUGCUCGCACUCCCAAGCGCUUUGUCUCAUUCCCCGGAGCAGCACCCUGACUCUCCUCCAUUCAGCUGCCCGGAAUCACUGGCGGAGCUCCGGGCAGCAGCUCAUGAUGUGCCUGGAGAGUGAUGGAGCGGGCACGGGGGGCAGCAGCCAGGACUGCAUCCCAGGAGCGGAGGACGGGGGGGUGGAGACCCUCUCGGGGAGGAUGAACCCGGUGACCACCGUUCUGGAUAUUAAAUCGCCAGAGAUGGAGAGUCCCAGCAGUAAAGCCAGCCUCUCCGAGAAGCCCGUCAACAUGAAACGUGCCAGGGUGGUAGCAGUGGGCAUCCUCAGCGUGGGCAAUGUGCUUAACUACCUGGACAGGUACACUGUAGCAGGGGUUCUACUGGACAUUCAGCAACACUUUGGAGUCAAGGACAGUGGUGCAGGUUUAUUACCAACUGUUUUCAUCUGUAGCUUCAUGGUGGCAGCUCCUAUAUUUGGUUACUUAGGAGACCGCUUCAACAGAAAAGUGAUCCUGAGCUGUGGGAUAUUCUUCUGGUCGGCAGUCACCUUCUCAAGUUCCUUCAUCUCUAAACAGUAUUUCUGGCUGCUUGUGCUCUCCAGGGGGCUUGUAGGCAUUGGAGAGGCUAGCUAUUCAACCAUCGCUCCCACCAUCAUCGGAGAUCUGUUUACCAAGAACACCCGCACGCUUAUGCUGUCAGUCUUCUACUUUGCCAUCCCUCUAGGAAGUGGCCUAGGAUAUAUCACCGGUUCAAGUGUCAAGCAGGUGGCAGGGGACUGGCGCUGGGCAUUGCGGGUCUCCCCGGUGCUUGGUAUGAUAACAGGAGCUCUAAUACUAAUAUUCGUACCAGUAGCAAAAAGAGGACACACAGAACAACUGAAGGUGCAUAGUUCUUGGUUCCGAGACAUGAAAGCAUUGCUCAGGAAUCGCAGUUAUGUCUUUUCUUCACUGGCAACGUCUACCGUGUCGUUUGCAACUGGGGCUCUUGGAAUGUGGAUUCCUCUAUAUCUGCAUAGAGCACAAGUUGUACAGAAAGUAGUGGAGCCAUGUAACACUGGACCCUGCAGCACCAAAGACAGUUUGAUUUUUGGAGCAAUCACCUGCAUCACCGGCUUUCUUGGAGUGAUAACAGGGGCAGGAGCUACUAAAUGGUGUCGAUCGAAAACUCAACGUGCUGAUCCACUUGUCUGUGCUGUGGGCAUGCUGGGAUCUGCCAUCUUCAUUUGCUUGGUCUUCGUGGCUGCCAAGAGCAGCAUUGAAGCUGCAUAUAUUUGUAUAUUUGCUGGGGAGACUCUACUGUUCUCUAACUGGGCCAUCACCGCUGAUAUGUUAAUGUAUGUGGUUAUUCCAACUCGCCGUGCGACAGCCAUGGCUUUGCAGAGCUUCACUUCACAUCUUCUUGGAGACGCUGGGAGUCCAUACCUUAUUGGUUUUAUCUCGGACCUCAUCCAGGAGAACACCAAUAAGUCUCCUCUGUGGGAAUUCCUAAGUCUAGGUUAUGCACUAAUGCUCUGCCCAUUUGUGGUGGUUUUGGGUGGAAUGUUUUUCCUGGCUACAGCACUUUACUUUUUGGAAGAUCGUGCCAAAGCUGAGCAACAAGAGCCGUGUUCAGAUCCUUUCACUGUUGGCAGCUGUAGUGACUCAGAAGAAGCUUCCAUCUUGUAGCCUUUAGGGUGAGUCAACACAUGAUGCCACCAGCCUCUGUGAAAGUCUGAUAAGGUCAAUACCAAGAGUUGAAGAAAAUACCUCCUGGGCAUAAAUGGAUCUCAUCCCAACAAAAACGCAAAAUGAUUUCCUUGACUGGAAAUCAUACCCAACAACUUAACCCUAAAAGUCUAGGAACUGCUCAGUGACGUGAAUAUUUUCCAAAGAGAGUGCACUGAAUUGACAUUUUUUUUUAAUUUAUGAAGGAGAUUGUGCAAGUGACUCCGAAUUUGUGAAGUGACUGCUUCCAGUGGGCAGAAAAUAUGGAACCGGCAAGGUAAAUUAGAUGCACUGAAUGGUGAGACGGCUACAGUACAUCGCCCUGGAAUGGAUGAGGCUGAUGGCAGGGGACACAUCACAGUUACCUUGCCAAGGAAGGUUCACCAGACAAGCAAAGUUAGAAGUGUAAUGAAAUAUUUGAAGGAUUUUUAUUUUUUUUCCAGAGAAAUUUAUAUGAUGUAUAUCACUGUACAUACAUUUUCUAAAUUGUAUAUACAUAUCUAAAGAUAUAUAAAUGUAUAUAUUUUACAAAUAUUCUUUAUUUAAUAUUUAGGUGCCAUACAGGCCGGUUUCUACAGAUAUUGGAUAUUUAUUCUUUGAAGUUUCUUUUUCCAUAGCUUUAAUAUGGAAGGAGCGAAUGCUCCUCUUUAAAAGUGCAGAUCCAAUGGCUGAAGUUUAGUGGUGAAAUUUCUGUCUAGAACGAAGGAAGAAAUGGAGUGGAUCUUUUGGUUUGCACUUUUUGUUUACCUGAAAAGGUGAUCAGUAUUAGCAUCUGUGAAAUGUCUUUGAGAGCUUUCUUACUAAUGUGUGAAUACAACACGUAUCUGCUGCAACCAAUCAGGAACGGACUAGUGUCUCUAUAUCCAAUAUUAGGAAAAUUGGUUGUACUUGAAACAACAUAUUGGUGCUAUAAGCAACACAUUAUUAAGUAAGCUGCUCAGUAUAGCAAAUUAUUGCUAAUUUAUUAUUGAAUCAUAUUUAGAUAUAUUGAUAUACAAUUGUGUAUUACCAGGCAAACAUUUUGGGGCUCUUAAAGAGUUAUCCAUCUUUCGGCCUUUGUCUACAACGAGACUGAAUAAACUGAACUCUCUUUAUUCAUUUGGUCCUUGAGCUCAUUUUUCUGGGACCACUCCGUCUGAAUGUCUGUCAUAAUUCACCCGUCCAUUCAGUGUGUGUAUAUGGAUAAGUCGUGUGCAUUCAUUUUUAAUUCAGACUCCAACCAGUGGUUCUCCAUCUGUUUUUAAACUUUAAGUCCCAACCGGUGGUUGACAGCUCCAGAUCCACAUGUUGGAGACCACUGCUGAUGUGUGCAGAUAGCUCACCAAAUCCUUAUAAGAUGUUCACAAACACACAAAUCCAUAGAAAGUGAUCACCAAGAUCGCAGCUCAAGGACCAAAUUGGCAUGGAUUACUCCCCAUAUGUAAUGAAGGAGGUCGCACCUUUAGAACCAAAUACUGGUAGACCAAUGUCUAUAAAUACAGCUCUCUUGUUUCUCUACGGACUUAUCCCUGGGAGGACACUUAGCAAAUUGUAAAACUUUGUAGUUGCUUUCUAUUGAAUCAAAUUGUUAAAAUUUCAGAUCAGCAAAUUUUUAAAAAUUAGUUCAUGAGAAUAAGGUCUGAAAUGCCAUUUGAUAUUCGAUAUGUUUUCCUCAUUGGGAAAAGUUCAAUUUCCUAGUUUGUAUAACCCCCUGCAACUUUUACUAUAUGCACUGUCUAGAUUUUGUGUGUGUAAAAUCACAUACACAACAGAACAACUUUGUUUUAUUUGAAAUUAAAUUCAUAAAUUAAUUAUUCUAGGUUUCUGUAAAAAGGAAGACUAUGUGGGGCUGCAUAUUGUAUGUUUGAGUGUUGAUAGCUUCUAAUAACAGAGUGGAUGUUAUACAGCACACGAUGCAUGCACUGAAUGUAGCAUUUCCAUUAGUCUCACAAUGGGGCUACAUUAUGAUAAAUGAUAGACUAGUUUAAAGUCCAUCUAUACUGCAAACACAAGGCCAAGGCAGUGUGUGUGCAGAUAAUAUUCAUGCAGAAAUAAGAUGCGAAGCUACAUUCACUUUAAAAGCGUUGGCUGGCGUAUGAGCUGCAUAAAAUGUUGAUGCUGCAGUCUUGGACACUCAGCUCCUGGUGUAGGGAUACCUUAACUUGCUGAGCUACAUGAAAUCAAACAAUUAGUUCAUCUGAAGCUGGGUUUGCUGAGGAGCUUUCCAUUUUAGUUUAACUCCCGUGUCUAUGGGUACAGAUUUCCCUGGAAAAUUACUAAGGCCGUUUUAAGCAGUUGAUGAGAACAGUGCGCGAAUACCGUUUUAUUCAUUUGCACAGGUAACUGUGAUAGGAACAGAGUCUUCUGUACUGUACUCCAUUUUUAAACUGAAAAGGGAUCUUGAUGAGCCCCAUCAAAGCAGUGUGCGCUGUUAAAGGGAAC
RNA transcript from Bufo bufo (common toad), 4523 nucleotides. It is a transcript of the gene named sphingolipid transporter 2, with no coding region annotated. The transcript is spliced from 14 exons. The record is from RefSeq and is a predicted model, not a curated record. NCBI's taxonomy places the organism in Eukaryota, Metazoa, Chordata, Amphibia, Anura, Bufonidae.